AUACGGAGGGUGCGAGCGUUAAUCGGAAUUACUGGGCGUAAAGCGUACGUAGGCGGUUGGUUAAGUUAGAUGUGAAAGCCCCGGGCUUAACCUGGGAACUGCAUUUAAAACUGGCGAACUAGAGUUGAGUAGAGGGGAGUGGAAUUUCAGGUGUAGCGGUGCAAUGCGUAGAGAUCUGAAGGAACACCAGUGGCGAAGGCGACUCCCUGGACUCGAACUGACGCUGAGGUACGAAAGCGUGGGUAGCAAACGGGAUUAGAUACCCUAGUAGUCC
Molecule: ribosomal RNA, 274 nt
Filed under: uncultured bacterium
Lineage: Bacteria
Description: partial 16S ribosomal RNA
Rfam family: Bacterial small subunit ribosomal RNA
Source: RNAcentral